AUGAACGCUGGCGGCGUGCCUAAUACAUGCAAGUCGAGCGAACAGACGAGGAGCUUGCUCCUCUGACGUUAGCGGCGGACGGGUGAGUAACACGUGGAUAACCUACCUAUAAGACUGGGAUAACUUCGGGAAACCGGAGCUAAUACCGGAUAAUAUAUUGAACCGCAUGGUUCAAUAGUGAAAGACGGUUUUGCUGUCACUUAUAGAUGGAUCCGCGCCGCAUUAGCUAGUUGGUAAGGUAACGGCUUACCAAGGCGACGAUGCGUAGCCGACCUGAGAGGGUGAUCGGCCACACUGGAACUGAGACACGGUCCAGACUCCUACGGGAGGCAGCAGUAGGGAAUCUUCCGCAAUGGGCGAAAGCCUGACGGAGCAACGCCGCGUGAGUGAUGAAGGUCUUCGGAUCGUAAAACUCUGUUAUUAGAGAAGAACAAAUGUGUAAGUAACUAUGCACGUCUUGACGGUACCUAAUCAGAAAGCCACGGCUAACUACGUG
RNAcentral lists this ribosomal RNA (496 nucleotides) under uncultured bacterium. RNAcentral's name for it is "partial 16S ribosomal RNA". It matches the Rfam family "Bacterial small subunit ribosomal RNA", at positions 29 to 507 of the family's 1533-position model. The record is from RNAcentral.